GACGAAUGCUGGCUGCGCGCUUAACACAUGCAAGUCGAACGGUGAAGGGGAGCUUGCUCCCCGGAUCAGUGGCGAACGGGUGAGUAACACGUGGGCAACCUGCCCCUCACUCUGGGAUAACUCCGGGAAACCGGGGCUAAUACCGGAUACGACCGGGAGCGACAUCGCUCCCGGUGGAAAGAACUUCGGUGAGGGAUGGGCCCGCGGCCUAUCAGCUAGUUGGUGGGGUAACGGCCCACCAAGGCGACGACGGGUAGCCGGACUGAGAGGGCGACCGGCCACACUGGGACUGAGACACGGCCCAGACUCCUACGGGAGGCAGCAGUGGGGAAUAUUGCGCAAUGGGCGAAAGCCUGACGCAGCGACGCAGCGUGAGGGACGAAGGCCUUCGGGUUGUAAACCUCUUUCAGCGGGGACGAAGCGUAAGUGACGGUACCCGCAGAAGAAGCACCGGCUAACUACGUGCCAGCAGCCGCCGCAG
RNAcentral lists this ribosomal RNA (481 nucleotides) under uncultured bacterium. RNAcentral describes it as "partial 16S ribosomal RNA". It matches the Rfam family "Bacterial small subunit ribosomal RNA", at positions 28 to 523 of the family's 1533-position model. The record is from RNAcentral.